This 496-nucleotide ribosomal RNA is filed under the name uncultured bacterium. RNAcentral's name for it is "partial 16S ribosomal RNA". It matches the Rfam family "Bacterial small subunit ribosomal RNA", at positions 29 to 507 of the family's 1533-position model. The record is from RNAcentral.
AUGAACGCUGGCGGCGUGCCUAAUACAUGCAAGUCGAGCGAACAGACGAGGAGCUUGCUCCUCUGACGUUAGCGGCGGACGGGUGAGUAACACGUGGAUAACCUACCUAUAAGACUGGGAUAACUUCGGGAAACCGGAGCUAAUACCGGAUAAUAUAUUGAACCGCAUGGUUCAAUAGUGAAAGACGGUUUUGCUGUCACUUAUAGAUGGAUCCGCGCCGCAUUAGCUAGUUGGUAAGGUAACGGCUUACCAAGGCGACGAUGCGUAGCCGACCUGAGAGGGUGAUCGGCCACACUGGAACUCAGACACGGUCCAGACUCCUACGGGAGGCAGCAGUAGGGAAUCUUCCGCAAUGGGCGAAAGCCUGACGGAGCAACGCCGCGUGAGUGAUGAAGGUCUUCGGAUCGUAAAACUCUGUUAUUAGGGAAGAACAAAUGUGUAAGUAACUAUGCACGUCUUGACGGUACCUAAUCAGAAAGCCACGGCUAACUACGUG